RNAcentral lists this transfer RNA (71 nucleotides) under Hyphydrus ovatus. Its description in RNAcentral is "tRNA-Trp". Lineage: Eukaryota; Metazoa; Arthropoda; Insecta; Coleoptera; Dytiscidae. The record is from RNAcentral.
AAGGAUUUAGGUUAAAAUAAAACCCAUAGCCUUCAAAGCUAUAAAUAAAGAAGGACUUACUUUAAGCCUUA